This 385-nucleotide ribosomal RNA is filed under the name uncultured chemocline bacterium ML3720. RNAcentral's name for it is "bacterial SSU rRNA". It matches the Rfam family "Bacterial small subunit ribosomal RNA", at positions 1007 to 1392 of the family's 1533-position model. The record is from RNAcentral. Lineage: Bacteria; Pseudomonadati; Pseudomonadota; Gammaproteobacteria; Chromatiales; Chromatiaceae.
UGAGUUGGUGCCUUCGGGAACCGAGUGACAGGUGCUGCAUAGCUAUCAUCAGCUCGUGUCGUGAGAUGUUGGGUUAAGUCCCGUAACGAGCGCAACCCUCGUCCUUAGUUGCCAUCAGUUCGGCUGGGAACUCUAAGGAGACUGCCGGUGACAAACCGGAGGAAGGUGGGGAUGACGUCAAGUCAUCAUGGCCCUUAUGGGCAGGGCUACACACGUGCUACAAUGGACGGUACAGAGGAUGGCCAAGCCACGAGGUGGAGCUAAUCCCGAAAAACCGUUCGUAGUCCGGAUUGCAGUCUGCAACUCGACUGCAUGAAGUCGGAAUCGCUAGUAAUCGCGGAUCAGAAUGCCGCGGUGAAUACGUUCCCGGGCCUUGUACACACCG